ACCACCUGCUGGUGCCUCCAUCCUUGGCUCUCAGCAUAACAUUACAACCAUGCACCUAACAGGUGUUUCCAAAGCUCUCUCCAGCCCUGUGUUUACAAGCUCACUUAUUUGUGCAAUAGUUUUGAAUGCUUUGGGAUACUUUUCAUUUAAGGAAAAAAGCAACAAAACCUAAUUGCCCGUGAUGGAAAAUAACCCACUUCACAGACACAGAAAUGUGCUAAAAGGCAAGUUGUGUUUCUUUCUUGUAUCUAAGGAAAUGGUCCCACUGAGGCCCAAGACUUGACAGUGGAAGUCUUGCCAAUUUAAAGUCUAAUGAAGAUUGUGAAUUAUUGACUGGCACAAGUAGAGCUUCCUGCACUCAAUGAUGGACAACUGAAGGCCUGUGCUAGCACUCUGUUUGGUACUUAGGAGAGGAACACCAAAUUUGAUGACUGUCUACACAAAGUACCUUCAUAAGACCCCAAAAUAAGAUGUGAAUUCUCUGCCUCUGUCUCUUCAAUCCACAAAACUGGCUUCUCUUCAAUCCACAAAACUGGCUG
This 539-nucleotide long non-coding RNA is filed under the name Homo sapiens (human). RNAcentral's name for it is "HSALNT0298636". Lineage: Eukaryota; Metazoa; Chordata; Mammalia; Primates; Hominidae. The record is from RNAcentral.